Molecule: small nucleolar RNA, 135 nt
Organism: Camelus dromedarius (Arabian camel)
Lineage: Eukaryota; Metazoa; Chordata; Mammalia; Artiodactyla; Camelidae
Gene: SNORA70
Rfam family: Small nucleolar RNA SNORA70
About the family: snoRNA U70 seems to be exclusive to mammals and is a member of the H/ACA class of snoRNA which contain H (ANANNA) and ACA box motifs.
Source: Ensembl
CUGCAGUCAGCUCAGCUGACCGUGCUCGUCUCCCUGUGCGGGCCCAGUGUGCAGUGGCUGCAGACAGCAGCCUCUUCAGUAGUGUAUGCAGCCUGUUUUCUGUAUGGGUUGCCCUCGUCGACCUUGGAGACAGCC